Molecule: non-coding RNA, 460 nt
Organism: Odocoileus virginianus texanus
Lineage: Eukaryota; Metazoa; Chordata; Mammalia; Artiodactyla; Cervidae
Source: RefSeq, a predicted model, not a curated record
GGGAAGCCUGGUGUGCUGCAGUCCAUGGGGUCGCAAAGAGUUGGACAUGACUGGGUGACUGAACAACAACAACAGCCCGGGGAGGUAGAUAUUAUCUCAUUUGAGAAAACUGAGGCUUGGAGAGGGUACUGAAGCAGAACCAUGGCAGUGGGAUCCUGAGUCCUUCCCUUGUAAUAAGCUCCCUAGGUGACUCAGUGGACGUUUAAGUUCAACUCCUGAAACAGGAAAUCAAGAUAAAAGGUGCCCAGGACUAAGAGUCAGCCCCACGUAGUCCAGCUGGAGAAAGAAUCCAGUCAUUCAGCCAUGCAGGCUUUCCCAGGCUUGUGGAAUCAAGUCACUUUCUUGUGUGUGAUACAUCUGCUAUUCAUCUUCUUCCUCCCAUUCCCUUCUCUCUAGCCUUCAUGAGGAUAAACCUCUACUUUUUCUGACUGGAUGUGAAUAAAGCCUACUUUUAACAAGU